RNAcentral lists this ribosomal RNA (864 nucleotides) under uncultured bacterium. RNAcentral describes it as "bacterial SSU rRNA". It matches the Rfam family "Bacterial small subunit ribosomal RNA", at positions 1 to 862 of the family's 1533-position model. The record is from RNAcentral.
UUCGCCCUUAAGAGUUUGAUCUUGCCUCAGGACGAACGCUGGCGGCGUGCCUAAUACAUGCAAGUCGAGCGGAGAUACUNNGGAAGGAUUUAUCUGGAAAAGCAAUUUUAGCGGCGGACGGGUGAGUAACGCGUGAGCAAUCUGGCCUUUACAGGGGGAUAACACAGGGAAACUUGUACUAAUACCGCAUAUUAUUAUUUAAUCGCAUGAUUGAGUGAUGAAAGUGGAAACACGGUAAAGGGGGAGCUCGCGUUCUAUUAGAUAGUUGGUGGGGUAACGGCCUACCAAGUCAACGAUAGAUAGCCGACCUGAGAGGGUGAUCGGCCACACUGGAACUGAGACACGGUCCAGACUUCUACGGAAGGCAGCAGUAGGGAAUAUUGGGCAAUGGGCGAAAGCCUGACCCAGCAACGCCGCGUGAGGGAAGAAGGUUUUCGGAUUGUAAACCUCUGUCCUUGGUGAAGAGCAGAAGACGGUAGCCAAGGAGGAAGCCCCGGCUAACUACGUGCCAGCAGCCGCGGUAAUACGUAGGGGGCGAGCGUUGUCCGGAAUGAUUGGGCGUAAAGGGCGCGUAGGCGGCUUUACAAGUCUGGAGUGAAAGUCCUAUUUUCAAGGUAGGAAUUGCUUUGGAAACUGUAGAGCUUGAGUGCAGGAGAGGUUAUCGGAAUUCCCGGUGUAGCGGUGAAAUGCGUAGAGAUCGGGAGGAACACCAGUGGCGAAGGCGGGUAACUGGACUGCAACUGACGCUGAGGCGCGAAAGUGUGGGAAGCAAACAGGAUUAGAUACCCUGGUAGUCCACACUGUAAACGAUGAAUGCUAGGUGUAGGAGGUAUCGACCCCUUCUGUGCCGUAGUCAACACACUA